UCUACUUCCAAUAAUCACACCUGAUUCUCAUUUCUUUCCGGCAAUUUACAGCUAAUGAUAAAUGAGUAACUUUACCGAACUAAUCUCUGAACUUUCCAACAGCUUGAAUAAACAAGAGUACCAAUAUAUACUAAUAGAUGGUCUAAAGGUUGCAAGGAUACUAUAUAGUAGACCAGUGAUCUUUAUCUUAGUACAUAAUACUGGAGUCAUCUCCAAAAUUAUAAGAGCUCAAGUUCGAUUCCUAGUUGAAGCGAAUUAUAUAUAUAUAACCAAAAACAAUAUAGUAAGCAGACACUAGACACUGGUCAUCUAAAUGUGUUGAUUGUGAAGAUUAUCUGGGACCAUCAUAAUUGAUUGGGAGGAAAGGAACUUCAAGCCUGAGUGAGCAUCAUCGGCAAUGUGCACAGAGUCAUCUUCACGGGGGAAACUGUUAUAGCCCAGACUCAUUACAAAAUUUGAUGAAACAUCUGUUCUGCUGUCCUCAUAUGGUUCUCUGGGCACUGGAGUUUGUUGCAGCCGCAGUGCAUAUUCUAAGUCCCAGUGCACAUCAAGCAUUGUAGGUCUGUUAGCCCCUUCUACCUUCAAGCACUGCUCAGAUAUUUCACCGAACUUUCUCAAUGAGUGAGGAUUAAUCUGACCAGCCAAUGAAGGAUCAAUAAUCUUUUCUAUUUCCCCUUUCUUUAGCCAAAACAUCCCCCAUUCAGCUAAGUUUAUUUCCUCUCUCCUGGUAGAGUUCACAAUAGGAGGUCGAGCACAAAGUAUUUCAAGAAGUACCACACCAAAGGAGUAGACAUCCGAUUUAUCAGUUAACUGAAGAGUUCUCACAUAUUCAGGAUCAAGAUAACCGAAGCUUCCUAUCAGACCCGUUCUGCAAUGGUCUGUAUUAGGAGGGCCCGAACGUGAAAGACCAAAAUCAGCAACUUUUGCCACAUAAUGUUCAUCAAGCAAGAUGUUUGUUGACUUAACAUCUCCAUGAAUGAUUCCCCAAUCAGAACCAGUGUGAAGGUAAUGAAGACCCUUAGCUGCACCUAUGCAGAUUUCAAGCCUUUGCUUCCAAGUCAAUCUAGGUGGCACAGAUGCAGUGUUUGAGUUCUCUUUCCAGGUGUAUAGCUGCUCUCUCAGAGUCCCCUUUUCCAUGAAUUCAUAAACCAGAAUCAUUUCAGAUCCUUCAUAGCAGUACCCAAUCAAGGAAACAAGG
This 1198-nucleotide unclassified non-coding RNA is filed under the name Hevea brasiliensis (rubber tree). Lineage: Eukaryota; Viridiplantae; Streptophyta; Magnoliopsida; Malpighiales; Euphorbiaceae. The record is from RNAcentral.